GGGGCCGGGCGGGGAUUGAGGGGCGGGGCCGGGCCCGGCUCAGGUGCGCGGGGCCCCAGUGCGGCUGCGCGGGCCGGGGCCCCUUUCACUGCGGCCAAGCCGCUCCCGCCCCGCCCCGCUCCUCGUGGUGUACUGCCUGUGCCAAGCACACGGCCCGGGAUGGGCGCUGGUGCCCGGCCGGCGCUGGCACGGACACAGCUCAAGGGCUGCCCGUGGCUCCCGGGCCAGGGGCUGCUCUGAGCAGGCUCCUGGAGACGCUUCAGCCUGGAUACAGGCCACUGACAGCCCAAAAGCAGCCCAAGGAGCAGCUGGCAUGUUCUGGUGAUGGUGGCACAGGCUGCGUGCAGAGGGGUUCAGACAGCAAUUCCUGGUUCCAGCCUCCCAGAGCUCCUAGGCAGUUGCCAACUAUUAAAUGCCAACCGACAGCCUGCAGAGAUGCCUUAAAAUCAAAGGUUCAGGUGGGAUGAAGUUUUGUUUGGAUGAAGGUGGGAGUUUCCAGGAAGCCAGCUGGAAGUGCAGAAGGGAUGGAAAGCUUUCCCAGAUACUUCCCAGUGGCACUGCUCAGACACCAGAGCUCCAACUGCAGCAGGUGAGUCCUGGAGUGCUGGAUCAGCAUGACCACAAUGGCCAGGGAGGGGAUUUUUCAGAUUUCUGAGAAGCCAAGCCCAUCUCAGGAAGUUGCAGCAUGGUUAAAGUGAUCUCCUUCAGCUGAGCUGCAGUCAUGUACAUGUGCAGCUCCUCCAGAGCCUGCAGCUGCAGCUGGAGCACCCCAGAAUUGAGGUGAGCUGACAGGAGCUUCACAGUGACAGGGUUCAGACCAGGCUGAGGAAUAGAGCGCAGCUCCAAGGCCAGGAACCAGCUCUCCAGUGCAGGAUGUCUGAAAAUCAAGCUUGUCAGUUACAAUUAUUGAACAUGAAAUUGUCUACUAGCUGGCCAGAAGAUAAAAAAUAUUAAUGAAUUACAAGCACAUAAAUAACAUUCUCCCAACAUUUAUGCUGUGGGAUUUAUGCUGUUAUACUGAACACUCUGGACGUGUCUAAGCUCAUCUGCAGAGAAAACUGAGUAUUCUGGGGUUCAUCAAUACACUCUAAUCUCCACAAAUUCACAGAACAGAUGAAAGGAAGAAAAAUUCCCUCCUCAGGUACAUAAUUUUCAGUAAGGCUUUACACAGGGCUGAGGGAAUGCAUUUUUUCCUGCAAAGGUGAUCUGAUUUGGGACUCUCCUGACCGUGUUCCAGCUCAGGGGUGGGACUGUGGGUGAUGCAGCUGGCUCACAUCUCCAGACAGUAGUUUAGCAACCUCACGCUCUGCAUUCCUAAGUUCCCCUCCAAGAGCUUGACAACAACUCUCUGAUCAGCAAAACUAUUCCCUAGAGAAUCAGCCAAAUCCAAGUUACUAACAGGUACCUCUGUAUGCAAGGAUUUGGUACCUUGUCAUUUGAAGACACUUCUGUCAUCAGAGGCUCCUCAUCCAUGAAGAGAUCCCAUCAGCCUGAUGCUCCUCCUGCUUCUGCUGCUGCUCCAGCUUUAUUUCAUUGCCCCAGCACAACAAGAUGCUCAGCAGGUUCACACAGAGAUCAACAAG
Molecule: long non-coding RNA, 1583 nt
Organism: Oenanthe melanoleuca
Lineage: Eukaryota; Metazoa; Chordata; Aves; Passeriformes; Muscicapidae
Exons: 6
Source: RefSeq, a predicted model, not a curated record